Molecule: ribosomal RNA, 114 nt
Filed under: uncultured bacterium
Lineage: Bacteria
Description: partial 16S ribosomal RNA
Rfam family: Bacterial small subunit ribosomal RNA
Source: RNAcentral
CGGUGAAUACGUUCCCGGACCUUGCACACACCGCCCGUCAAGCCAUGGAAGCCGGGUGUACCUAAAGUCGGUAACCGCAAAGAGCCGCCUAGGGUAAAACUGGUGACUGGGGCU